This is a transfer RNA of 100 nucleotides. It matches the Rfam family "tRNA". Rfam says of the family: Transfer RNA (tRNA) molecules are approximately 80 nucleotides in length. Their secondary structure includes four short double-helical elements and three loops (D, anti-codon, and T loops). The record is from Rfam.
GGCGAGAUGGCCGAGCGGUCUAAGGCGCUAGAAUCAGGUUGCCUAAUGGUCCUGAUCUAUCUAGUCAUUCGUGGCGUGGGUUCGAAUCCCACUCUCGUCA